UCGGUCCAAUGAGCCAUCAAAUCGAAACUUGACUGAGUACACCCAUUUACAAUCAAUAGGUUUGACACCAGAGGGACAAGUCACAAGAUCCCAAGUGUCAUUGUCUUGAAGAGCUUGGAUUUCUUCUUGCAUGGCCUGCUGCCAACAUGCUUGGGUGGCUGCUUGAGUAAAAGAGCGAGGAACAUAAACAGUGUCGAGAGUGGCAGUAAGCGAGGUAUAGGAAGCGUAGAAUCAGAUGACGGAUCAGUGUCUUGAAGAGGCGUUGAAGGAGGAUGUCUAUGAUACACCACACCUGGUUUAAAUCGCUCAAUAGAAGAAGAAGACACAUCAUCAAAAGCGGGUAGAAGAGUAAUAGAAGGAUCAUAAAUAACCUGAGACUGAAAGAAAUAUUGAUUUUCAAAGAAAAUCACAUUUCGGGAGAUCCGGGAUUUGUUCGCAUGAGCAUCAUAACAAACAAAUCCUUUCUGAGUAGGGCUAUAUCCCAUAAAAGCACACAUGACAGACUGGGCAGCAAGCUUGUGACGAUCAACAUGUGGCAGAUGAACAAAACAAACACACCCAAAAGUAUGAAAGGAUUGAUACUCAGGAGAUAUACCAAAUAAUCGAAAAUAGG
Juglans microcarpa x Juglans regia is the source of this 613-nucleotide long non-coding RNA. RefSeq lists it as uncharacterized. The transcript has 2 exons. The record is from RefSeq and is a predicted model, not a curated record. Lineage: Eukaryota; Viridiplantae; Streptophyta; Magnoliopsida; Fagales; Juglandaceae.